Molecule: unclassified non-coding RNA, 200 nt
Filed under: soil metagenome
Description: partial contains internal transcribed spacer 2 and large subunit ribosomal RNA
Source: RNAcentral
GUUGGAGGUAGCAGGCUUCUUAGUCUGCUCCUCUUAAAUGCAUUAGCGGAACCUAACAUUGUCCCAUUUUUGGUGUGAUAAUUAUCUACAUCAUGAAUGCGGUACAAACUUUUGUAGGGUUCGGCUUCUAACAGUCCAUUCACUUGGACAACUCUUGACAAUUUGACCUCAAAUCAGGUAGGACUACCCGCUGAACUUAA